Molecule: long non-coding RNA, 3539 nt
Organism: Lepidothrix coronata (blue-crowned manakin)
Lineage: Eukaryota; Metazoa; Chordata; Aves; Passeriformes; Pipridae
Exons: 5
Source: RefSeq, a predicted model, not a curated record
AAAUAUGUUAUCUAAACAGACUCUCUUUCAGUUUGAAUAUGUAUGUUCUGAAGUUACAUACUCCCAGGUGGGAGUACUGUGGUCACAAGAACAGUCCCAGGCAGUGCUAUCAAGGUCUGCAUUCCCCUGGUCUCUCUCAUUCCUUUCUUGGAGAUGGUGUUUGGAGGCUUUUUAUUCUGUCUCUCCUGGAUGCUGAUCCUAUGGACAGGCAGGGUUUGCCACGGUGGUGUUGGGGCUGUGGUCCUGAGCUGGCUGCAUGAAUAGAAUAGCAGCCAAGUUUUUUUUACCUCCACUAGUCUGUCCUCUUGCAAAGGGAAUUUCCAACAGUUUUUUCACAUCAGUGGGUCAGUGGUCACUUGUCCCAGCUGUGGCCCUUGGGUCACAGAGGUGCUUCUCUGUCUGUCUGCAGGUUCUCUGGCACUGUGCCACCUUGCCUGGGCUCUGUACAGUGUGUUUCAACAGACUGCUCUUAACCAUCGACAGUAACUCUCCCCUUUCAGCAUUCACAACCAUGACGUGAAUCUCAGGAGUGUUGGUGAAGAUUUCCAUCACUUCUCCACAGACAGUGUGCCCUCCACCUCUUAAACUGGUCCUCAAUAGCUCCCUGGUUUCCUCCUGCCUUUUCACAUAACUCUUUUUCCCCACUUCUUGUGAGUACAUUUCCUGCAGCGCAUUAAACAAACUAAGCAAAACGUGACCCCGAGAUUACUCCAGAGGACCCGAUGAAAUACAAGUUAGUAUUUAUAAGAAUACUGGUUUUUUUAAUCCUGUUUGUUUUCCCUACAAAGCAGAGAGCUGUAACUUGACUGGCUCCCAUGUGUAUGCUAACACAAGGCAGUACAUUUGUUUAUUGUUACACAGGUUGAUUCUUGUAGGGCUGUGAGGAUAUCAAAUGGAGCUUACUGUUCAUAAAUGGUAAUUCAUCCUUCGCCCCUGUCGUACACGACACCCCUGAAAAGAAAUCAUUUUUCUCUGAAGAUUUCCAAUGAGAUUUUCAGUGCAGAUGGAUAGUACUUAUAUAAGAGAAAUGUUUGCAAAGGGAGGAAAAGAUAAUAAAAAAAAUACUUCUGGUUUUACAUUUGGAACUCUUAGAACUGACUCCAUCCAUGUAACCAGUAUAAUUUGCUUUGCCGAAAUAAAUUAUGUUAGUGAGAAACCCUACACAGUAACUGUAAUGCAGAGGGCAGACACAGUCAUGUUUCUGUAAAGCACAGUGUGUUAUAUCUGACAAAAAACAUUCAAAACAAAUGGUUGGUUUCUUACCUGUUUUCACCCCGUGCAAAAGGUAGAUGAACACAACACACAGCCUCAGCAUAUGGACUUCCACAUGGAGCUUCUAUGGGUAAGAGACCUUAAGGACCCCACAGUUUCUUUGGCAUGUGUCUGCUGGCUCUGACAGCAACUUGCUCCCUUUUUUUUUUCUGCCUGUCCCAGUAGGUGUGGUGAAAGCAGGAAGUUACCAGCCAAGAAAUGAAGACCAGUCUUUAGUUAUACAACUGAAGCUUCUUCUUAAAAAGGUGGGGCACUUUCUAUUCUAACAGGUUUCCUUAAUUUAGACAUAGUUUGCCCUGGGAGAUGACUAAUCAAAGACACAAAUGGGUUGGUAUCACGCUGUAAGCAGCAAUUUGACUACACUGUGUUGAAACUAAGGAAAUUAUUGCCUUAUUCUCUUUUGCAGAGAAUGUCAAGAGGAUUGUAGGUGUCACUGCAAGUCUGAUAAGCAUCUGGGCAGGGCCAGUGCUUGGUUUCCCAGGGCCCUGCCUUUGGAAAGUUCAUGAUGAUCCCUAAUCUCCCAUGUUCCUCCUGCUCUCUGGAGUCCCUUCUAACCCACAAAGCCCUGUCCCCUCAGGCAGGAGGCAGGUGCACGGCACUAUGUGUGACAAAGGGAAGGUACUUGGGGCAGUCUGGCUCUCCAUUGGGCUCCCAAGCAUCUGCUGCCUUGGAUGACACUCAUACAACUGGCAUUCCCACCACAUUUUCUCAAAGACCUGCUGGAACAUCAUGAAUUCAGCUCUAAUUCAACAAGAAGUUCUGCCAAUGGUGAGACAGAAUCAGUCCAACAGUGAAACACGAAGAGGAACAGAAGGCUUUUACCUGUUGCAAAGGACAUCUGUGAAUCAGAGAUAAAAUGGGAUAAAUCAAGAGGGCCUUGCCUUUCUUCUCAGCACAAAAAGAGGUUGGGACUGGCAAUACCCUGGGACUGGCAGGCCCUUCCUUGGAACUCUCAAUCAUCCCUCUAAAGACCAUGAUUUUGAGACCCUGGGGCCUUGCUAUACACUCAGACUGCACACACAGCGAAGGAGAAUAUAUAGCAAAUGCAAAGUGAGAAAUCCUUCCUCUCUAUGUGUUGGACUCAGGUGUGGCUGUGCUGGAGCAACAGUAGAAGUCAGAACUCUCUUCUAUUAUUUGUUCUCUGUGUUGCUGUACUGCUGCUGUCACAGUGAAUGCUAUUCUGCCAGAUACCAUUUGGGCAGGAAUUCUGAGUUCUAGAUCUCUGGAAAUCCCAGCAUGAGGUAACUAAAACGUUUCAGUUUUGAAAACAGUGUAUGAUUUGAGCCCAUUUGAGUUCCCAGGAAUCUCUCAAGUGGGCACUGGAGCAAAUGCUCAGGACAGGCUCAAAGAGCACUUCACAGCCAUUCUGUUUGCUCCUGUACAGUGCUCCUGAGUAAGUCUCCUGUGAAUUCGUGCUACUUUUCCCAUGUGAUCAGAGGCAAUCUCAUCUCUGGGAAUCUUUAUAUCCACAGCCAGGCCUUUCUUUCUAUUGUUAGUUGGUGAGGCUUCCUGCUCUGGGGCUGCCAUCUGUAUGUGACUGUAAGUAGCCCAAGAGGUGGCUGUAAGGGAAGAAACAGUAAUGUUUGGACUCAAGGUAAAGGCAAAUGUCAGUAAGGAACCAGUUUAUAAUACUCAGCCUGCCUUAUAAAUGUUAUCCCAAGCAAUAGGGGGUUUGGGCUCUUUUAUCUGACAAUUACAGUUCUGCAAGAUCCCUCCCUCAAACCCAGCUCUUGGCAGAAAAACGUGUGUGCUGUAUAUAUGGAUUUUGGGGUUGUGCAGCUGCUCCUUGUCCUCUCUGAAAAGCCAGUGGUGGAAAGGCUAAAGCUUGAGCCACGUCACAAUUUGGAAAUGUGUCUAUGCUGAAGGAGACCAACACCCCAUGAUCCCCACAACUGCCUUGUCAGUGCUAGCCAGGGUAAAGCUUGUGCACCAGAGAGAACAAGGAAAGGGAAAAUCCUCAGCUACCUCCUGCUUCCCUGGAAGUUUCAAAGUAGCUAAGCAAAGGUUUCAGAGUGGGAGAUCUGAAGCUUCAACUCUGGGCUUUGUGGGAUCAGCAGUAGCUUUUCCCCCAUUGCCCCUCUCCCACCCUGCAGCUGUGCCCUGGAUGAAAGGACAGCUGCCAUGCCUUGGACAUGGCACUGCAGGUGCCAGUGCAUUCACUGCUGUCCUUGAACUGCCAACAGCAAUGCUGGAUCUGGAAAAGACUGACUGGAAACAGGUACGAAAAUUUUUCAGCUUCUUUUAAUGGAAUUUCAGGAAGUGGAAAU